UCUCCUGGGAAAUAAGAGUUCUAAAAUAUUAUGAUCUGCAAAAACUUCUGGUUUCAACAAUUCUAUAUACCAUUUUGUUUUACCUGUGUUGAGAAUUCAUGGAGUAGAACAGUAUAAUCAAAAUCAAUUGCAUCAUCAUUUGUUUUCUAGAAGAAGAAAAAAAGUGUUAGUGUUCAGAAUAUGGAAGGCUUGUCUUAUAUCAGUUCUUGUUUUGGAUGGGUGCAUGGGUGCCUUCAAUCACCUGCCCUCUCUUUGUAGCCUCAUCUCCUUUGGUGGUAUCCUGCAUCAAGAUGUGGAUGUUGUGGAUUCUUACUCUGCCACCAAGCCAUGAAAAUAUAGUAAGGUCUUUCUGUCCCUUUUCUCUUUAAUAUUUAUGGGUUUUGAUGGAGACUAAGCUCUAUGAGAAUAGGGAGAAUCUUUUGACAGCCUAAGGGAUCUACAUACUGUAUAUGCACCUUGAGCUGAUAUGUAGCCCUGAUAUGCCAGGCAGUAAGACAAAGGGGAAGGGCGACCAGGAUUUCUAGAAGGACACCAUGGGCCACGUUCUGUGCUAGGCACUUUAUACAUAUUUUCAUGGAAUUCUCCUGUCUUGCAAGAAUAUGUAUUAUGAGCCUUGUUUUACAGUGAAGGCAACUCGAGGUUACAGCUAGUAGGUAACAAAUGGGGAUUCAAACCCAGAUCUACUGACUCCAUCACCCACAUCCUUCAUGCUUUACCACACUGCUUCUAAAACCAGUGCAAUUUACAGUAAGCAGGCCGUCUCCCUCAUCUCUUUUAUUCACUUGAUUUCUAUAAAUUUUACAAGUGACUAAACCAAUUUCCUAUUUUCUUUUUGACAGUAAUUGUUUUGGGAGGAAAGGUUGGGAGGCAGAAGUGUUUAUCCCUUUACUAGUAAAAAUGGAAAAGAAAUUAAAAAGCUAAUUUGGAUUAUGAUUUUAAUCUACCAGGCUUUCACUGAGACUACUUAAGAAUAUGAAAAAGCAAAAAACAAACAAAAAGGACUGAUAUUUUGUCUUCCCUUUGCUUACAUUGAUGAAGAUUUUUAUAAGCCAUGAAAUUUCCAUCAGGUGGAGAGGAUGCUAGAGGGAUAAGAUACAAGAGAGGGCCUGGAUCAAUCAGAAAUUGACUGCUUUUCUGUGAUGCUUUCCAUCAUUGGGUAGGUUUCCCUUCUGCCAGGUAGCAUGAAUGGUGAAAACAAAUAUCCAAAACACAGGCUGAGAAGUCCAAGAAUUCAUGAGGGAAAAUUUAGUGUCAUAUAUAAAGGAACACUUUCUGGAGACUCCAGUUAUCAGCUGGGCAUUGCUAGGUUUGGGGGUGGAUUUAGACUCUCAUUUGGUGACGAUCUUGACCUUGGACUGUACUGACACAGCUGGCUGCUGUGCUGUAUAAUUUUUGUCUCAGACUUUUGAGCUUGCACCAUUUUUCAAGGUCUGUUUUAUGUGUAUAUCUAACAGUUAAAAAAUUGGUCAUAAACUUUUUUCAGGACAUUGCCUCUUUUUGUUUUUGAAAAUAACAUUUCUGAAGGAAAUUAUGGCAGUCUCCAGAUUUUAGGCAAAAAGGAAGAAAAGGCUUGAAGCAAAUGAUGGCAUUCCAAGUCCACUGACAAACUUCUGCUCAGUGUUACCCAUUUUUUAAUAAUCCAGAAAAAAAAACUGCAUUAUAAUGCUUAGACACCGUCUACAUUUAAGACCUUCCUCAAUAAAGUUAUUGAAAUACAUCUUACAUUUCCAUUUUUAUAGAUUCUUCCUCUUCCAGGAGGAAGCACCCUUAGACCAAACCAAAAGCAGGGCUUAUUGAACAACCACAGCCCAGACGUGGCACAUCCCAGCCUGGCAAAGUAUCCAGGGUGCACUGCCCAUACCAACUCUUUCUUAGCCUGCUCUUCUCUCAGGCUGUGUUCAUGUGAGGCUGUACUUCCUUACACCACUGGAUUAACAGGCUGGUUGAGGGAUAUUAAUGGACAGAUGAUGGUCAUCGAAGACAGGCUAGAAUGAAUGAGAAACAGGGCUGCUGUUUUCAAACCACCGUAUGUCCUGGUGGUUGCUUAAAUGACGUGUCAUGUACAAAUACAAAAGAAUGGAAAAGACUGCCAUUAAAAGAU
Long non-coding RNA from Hippopotamus amphibius kiboko, 2101 nucleotides. RefSeq lists it as uncharacterized. The record is from RefSeq and is a predicted model, not a curated record. Lineage: Eukaryota; Metazoa; Chordata; Mammalia; Artiodactyla; Hippopotamidae. The transcript has 3 exons.